UGCACCACACCUACGGGUGGCAGCCGUCGAGAAUCUUCGGCAAUGGGCGCAAGCCUGACCGAGCGACGCCGCGUGCGGGAUGAAGGCCUUCGGGUUGUAAACCGCUGUCGUAGGGGAGGAAGCAACCGUGUAGAACGGAAGUUGACCGAUCCUAGGAGGAAGGGCCGGCUAAUCUCGUGCCAGCAGCCGCGGUAAUACGAGAGGCCCAAACGUUACUCGGAAUUACUGGGCUUAAAGAGUUCGUAGGCGGCGCAGAAAGUAGGGUGUGAAAGCCCUCGGCUCAACCGAGGAAUUGCGCUCUAAACUACUGUGCUUGAGGAAGCUAGAGGUGAGCGGAACUGAUGGUGGAGCGGUGAAAUGCGUUGAUAUCAUCAGGAACACCGGAGGCGAAGGCGGCUCACUGGGGCUUUUCUGACGCUGAGGAACGAAAGCCAA
RNAcentral lists this ribosomal RNA (435 nucleotides) under uncultured Planctomycetota bacterium. Its description in RNAcentral is "bacterial SSU rRNA". It matches the Rfam family "Bacterial small subunit ribosomal RNA", at positions 329 to 763 of the family's 1533-position model. The record is from RNAcentral. Lineage: Bacteria; Pseudomonadati; Planctomycetota.